Molecule: long non-coding RNA, 1484 nt
Organism: Homo sapiens (human)
Lineage: Eukaryota; Metazoa; Chordata; Mammalia; Primates; Hominidae
Source: Ensembl
AUUAACACAUAAGGAUAGGGCAAAGGCAGAAAAACUAUUUCUCCUCAGCUGGAUGGUGGUUAUUUUGUGUGUGUCUGUUUGGGGGCUUUAUUUUGAUCCACCUCAAGCAGAAGAUAUGCUGGCCAGAAGAGACUCUGAAGACAUCGAGGGCAUAGGCGGGGAGGGUAGAAAAUAAGAAAUUUAAAGUAAUAAAAGUUGUGGGUUUUCUAUACUAGAUAAUGAGAAAUGAUGAACUAAAUAUACAGUAUUUCUACAUUCUUUGGCAUGCACAUGAAAUAAAGUCAUACUUUUUUUCAACAAAUACAACAGCUGCAAAAGCUGGAGUGCAAUGGUGCUAUCUCAGCUCACUGCAACCUCUGCCUCCCGGGUUCAAGCGAUUCUCCUGCCUCAGCCUCCCAAAUAGCUGGGAUCACAGAUAACCCCUGUGAUGUCCUGAGGCAAUCUUCUGUGGGUCCAUUUUCUCCAUCCAUGAGUACGUCUCCACGGUCCUGAGAUUGGGAGCAGAGAUACAAAGUUCUCUGGGAUGUUUUUUUCUCUGUUGGUUUGUCUGUCUCUAACUUUCUUUUAGAACAAUUCUCAAAUCACAUUUCCUCCAAAUAUCUUUCUCUCAUUGCUCUGGGCUACGUAGAAAAAAAAAUGCCCAAUUCUAUUUUGAAGUUCUGAAGAGGAUUGAUUUGUAUCACUUUUUUAGCAUUCAGAACUGACUUAAAAUUCUUAGUCUUCCCUCCAUUUCAAGAUGCUUUCUACCUAGCUGUAUUGCAAACUGCUUAAGGUAAAAAGUGGUCUUUUGUACACUCACGUCACUCUCUACUGAGCAUAGUGCUCACCUAAGACAACUUUGAUUAGUUUUUGCUGAUAAAAGAAAAUCAGAAAACCUAUCUUCCAAAAUAUAGAAAGUUUGCAAAAUCGUAGAGUUGUUUGGGGACUUUUUCUUAUAUUUGUGAAGUCUGGAAGCAAAAUUACAGGUACUCUAAUCCCACAGUUUUUUUUUACUUGCAUUUGAAACUUUGCUAGAUAAACUGUUACUUGCUAAAAUAAAACCAGACAGAUCGAUAAACAAAGAGGACAAGAACAGACAUCUAUGCUGAUAAGCGGCAUGCUUUCUUUUGCUAACUAGCUUGUUCUUUUGUGAUGAUAUUUUGCUUAGUUACCUUUAUCUGUUUUGAACGAUACCAAGCAUUCCGUUGACUUAUUUUACUCAUAAGCAAUGAUAAUUCGCAUGAGGAUAAAAAAGGGACAAGACGGCAGAGUCCAUUUGAAAGGAGUUUCCCGCCAACCAUGUUGGAGACUCCUGAUUCCUCCUCACUUGACUGGAAAUUCAGGUGAUAGUUAUCUGGUGAUAAUCAUUAGGAUUAAUGUAUACAAUUUAUUUUGAUUUUAUAAUCUGUAAUGGUCAUAUAAGCACUAAUAUGAUUUCCUGAAUUCACUAUUCUACUGGAAAGAAAAUGUUUUGAUCAGCUAACAAAUAUAUACAUCCUUCAUUU